CUUCAUGAUGACUUGCUGGGAGUGUCAUCUCUGUCUCUGUGGCCCUUGCUGUCCUGUAUCUGUGGUAUAAUCUCAAGGUUCAAAGAAACUUCCAAAAGAUAACCUGGAGGCAUUAGUCUAAGAAGG
Molecule: small nucleolar RNA, 126 nt
Filed under: Cavia porcellus (domestic guinea pig)
Lineage: Eukaryota; Metazoa; Chordata; Mammalia; Rodentia; Caviidae
Source: RNAcentral